GACCAUAGGAGGCUGGAACUGGAAUAGGAUUUAGAGAUUGUGUCCAUGGAUUUUUAACCCCAGAGGAUCCAGAGAUGACACCAGCAUCUGAAAUUACUCAAGGAAGAAUACAUGUACAUGUGGAUGUGUAUUUAGAGUGGGAGGAGAAAUAAUAGAGAUGAUAUACAUAGAGUUCAGAAGAUUCUUAAUGACUCUAAAAACAGUAAGAGCAGCCACUUUAACUCAAACUCUUUAUCUUACACAAUAGGAAAAACUGAGGCCCAGAUUGGGGAAUAAAGCCACCCAAGGUGAUGAACCUAGUUAGUGAUUCAGAUGACACUGGUUUCCUCAAUGAUAAUCUAAACGCUCAUUCCACUUUUCACACUGCCUCUAUUCAAAGCCCUCCAAUGUGAGAUUUUAAAAAUGGAGCUUUUGAAAGUGGGAAGUUACAAUACUUUAAUGUUUGCUCUGUCACUCUUUUAGAUUGUUCUUCUUCCGGUGGGGGAGGGGAAAACACUUUGGAGCUUAAAAGUGGGAAUUCAUUUGAAAGAGGGUGAAAAUCUAAAGAAGCAGUAUGCCCUUGCUUCCAAACCUAGGUAAGAGAUAUGAAAACUUAACCUUCCAGCCAAGACAAGUUUUAAACAUUAUAAGGGCAGGUAGGUAAUAUUAGACUGUUUGAGACCCCUAUAUCUGUUAUAAACCUCAUUGAGCAUAGAGUGAUAGUCAGGAAUGGGCUGGCUCUGCAGCCAGAUUAUCCGAGUUCAAAUCUAGUCUCUUUCACUUUCCAGGUGUAAAGUCUUAGGCAAGUAACUUAGCUUAGCCUCUCUGUGCCUCUGUUUCAAAUACACUGGGGAUAAUAGUAGUACUUAUCUUCAUUUGGGUUUCUCCAAAAUAGAACAUGACAAGAUCUUGGAUGCAGGUAUUUGGCUUGGGAGAAUUCUCUGGAAGGAGUUACGAAUGACAAGAGUGAGACAGAGCUACAAUAGGAGUAAAUUACAGAAGUUGCUUCUAUAAGCAAUGGAAGUUUGACUCAGCUGAGACUUCCAAGAGUGUACAGAAUGCCUCUUAGAAUUGUCCAUUCAAAGGGUGGGAAGCUAGAGAAUUUACCCACCAGCUCCUGUGCAUCUGUGGUUGAGGGUUGCCCUGAGAAUGUUAAAUCCACUUCACUUCUGUGCCAGGACAUUAGAAAGAUCUAGUGACUUCCUGCACUUUAGAGAAGGCCUGAACAGGCAGACUGAUACUUGUGCAUGGGGUGAGACACUCAGCACAAGUCUGAGCUCACACAAAACUCUCUGCCAUAGUGAUGGCUGAAAUAUGAGUUAUGUCACAGUGACACAGGGCACUGGAAGCAUUGGCUGUGUUGUCUACCUCAAAAGCAUUGUUGUAGGGACUUAAUAAAGUAAUUCAUGUAAAGUGGUUAGAACGAACCUGGCAUAUAGCAAGGGAUCAAUUAUGUUAGCUGUGAUUCUUCUUUUUAACAUUUACUGAGUGCCUACCAGACACUAAGUGCUUUAUACCAUGUGAUACAAAAAUAAUAACAAUAAAUUAAGUGAAUAAAUAAAUACUAAAGACUGCUCUCAGUCUCUUCACAGUGUACUACAGGCAGCAAAGAAGCAUUUGUCAGUCAAAGCACUAGACAUCAAGAUAAACGUAUAUAUUGGGUGUAAUUGCUACACAAAGUAGAUAGCAACACACUCUGCCCAGAGGUCAUAGCAGUCAGAAAGAUUUCCCAGAGGAUGUGCUAUCUGAACACAAUCUUAGCAGUCACAUAGGAGUGGCCUCAGGAAUGGCCAUGGAGAUGACUGAAAUCAGAGUUAAGUCACAAUGACACAAGGCAGUGAAGGCAUUGACUGUAUUAUCUACCUCAGAGCAUUGUUGUAGGAAUUUAAUAAAGUAAUUCAUGUCAAGUGGUUAAAGCAAAGCUGGCACAUAGCAAGAGAUGUGCAUUUCAAGUACUGAGAGCAACAUAUACAGAAGCAAGUCACAGAAACAAGAAAGAACAUGAAGCUUUUAGAGAACAGCCAGGGGAUCAAAAAGGUCAAGACAUUGAAUUCCAUGGCUGACUGUCAGAAAAUAAAGCUGUACCAUGAAGAGGUCAAGAUGUGGUCAUAAAGGAUAAAGAGCUACAUUUGCCUUAGUUUGGGAUUAAUUCUACAGGCAACAGGGAACAAGGAAAGGAUUUGUUUUUUGGAACUUGCUAGAAGUAUGGAGGAUCGAUUUGUAGAAAACUAUACUGGAUACAGAAAGGAUCAGAUGGUAUUCUAUUACAAUAGCCCAAGAAGAGAAUGAAAUUGAUCUAGAUUUUUGGAGAGUAAGAGCCAUCUGUUCCCAUGGAUAACAGUAGCGCUGCCUUCCAAAAGUUAUUCCUAUUCACUGGAAUUGGCCUCAAGCAUCAUUUUACCAGAUAGUAUUUAAAACUGAGAUGAUAACAUCCAAUAUUAAAACCAUGGUGGGUUUUAUGUCUUAAUUUUGUUGCCUUUAACUUUUUGUUAGUUUUCUUAAGAGAAAAGAAGAGUGCAUGUACAUAAAUAAAAUGUCAGAGGCUUUUCUUUAAUCCUUUCCAAACAGUGCUCAACAAUUAUUUCUCCCUUUCUAUCCAGACUGUGUAAUUCCAAAAUGAUCAGAGAAAAACUUGCCAUCUGGAUGUCAUAAGUAAAUAACUUGUUUCUGAGGCCUGCCUGGAGCUGUCUGAACCAGUGCAAUCAUGGAGGUGUUGGCUAACGCACCUGAGAUGAAGACACCUUCGGGCUUAUUCUUGUACAACUGUUCUUCACUAUGACAUUUCUUUAGCAUAUGUCUGAAGAUCAUUAAAAGGUAGUGCUGCAAUCCUCUCCAAAGGCAGAAGACUGGAGAGAGAUAGAGAGAGAAUCAGAGAAUCUCCUGCUGGCCUUAAAGAAGCAAUCAUGUGUAAACUGCCUAUGGAGAGAGGAGCCCAUGUCAGGAAACUGUGGGUGGCCUCUAGUAGCUGAGGGCCUGAGUCCUGCAAUACCAAGGAACUGAGUUCUGCCAAUAAUCACAUGAUCUUGGAAGAGGUCCUAAGCUCCAGAAAAAAAUGCAGCCCAGCCAACACCUUGAUUGCAGCCUACUGACACCCUGAGCCUCUGAUCCAGGUAGGCCACGCCCAACCUCCUGACCCACAGAAACUGUGAGGUAAUAAACAUGUGUUGUUUCAAGUCACUAAAUUUGUUACACAACCAUAGAAAACUGAUAUAAUGCAUCAAGCCACAUUAGCACCCAGAAACUACUUACACAAUCAUACGAGGCAAUGAUUCUUCUUCUGAGGGAGCCACAUCCCCCAAGCCUAAAUCUUGAUUCCAGAACACAAAGUUCUGGCUGUGUCUGCCCUGGGGCUCUCUAUCUCUACAUCUGCUUUACAGGGAAGAGUUUUCACAGUGUGUCUUUAGAGAUUAUCUAUGGAAAGAGUGGCACAGCCUACCAGCAGGAUUGGCUAUAUAAUGUGUAAAACUCAGUAUGAAAUGAAAAUGUGGGCUCCUUGUUCAAAAAUUUUUAAGAAUUUCAAGACAGUGACAGCAGAGCCCAUCUAAGUUUGGGGCCCAUCUAAGAACGUGGCCUUGUGUAACUGCACAGGUCUCAAAAUCAUGAGGCCAGAUUUUACUAUUACACCAUGUUAGCCAUGCCUUGAGAAAAUUAUUUAAGCUGAACCUCAACAUACUCAUCUGGAGAAAACAACAUGCUGUAAGCUUCAGUACGGAGAAUUGUGAAAUUUAAAACAGAUGAUAUAUGUGGAAGUCUCUGACCUAGCAAUAGGUAUUCAAUAUAUGUUGACUUUUUUGUCUUCCUUUCAGUCUUUGCUUUUUAUUAAGCUAUCAGCCUCAAGCACCCAUCCUUCCUUACUCAUCUUUUUUUCUCCAAGCACAACUAAUAUAGGAAUUUUAAUCAUCCAAGAACACGCUGGCUACAGGUCAAGAAAAAUUAUUUCUUUUGAGACUCAUGACUUGUUUUCAGGUAUCUAUUCCUGUUUUAUUAUUUUAAAAAAUCAGCAAGUUACAUAAAGUUUUAUAGCACAAAUUCUGAAACAUCUCAAGGUUUUCCAACAUAGAUUUCUGUCAUUUGAUUACCCUUCUCUUAAUAAACCCAUCAUUAGAGAAUUUUCACUACCCAGUACUCCUGAGCAAUAUGGCACGCUUCCAUCAGUAUCAGUGACUUACCACAGAAGAUUCUCAGCUGAGUGUGUCUUGGGGGUUGGAAGGAGAUAUUAAGAACUAAAGCAGUCUCUCACAUUGUUUAUGAUUCUGACAAGGCAAGCAUGCAACUUACCACCACUACUUUGUUGAAAAUCAUUAUUUUAGAAAGAAUUUCAUAUAGUUUACCUUCCAAGGAUGUAGAGGGUUAUUUCAUUUUCAAUAUAUUCUUUCUGGAUCUACAGUUUUUAAUGACUUGUGAUUUCCUGACCAUGUAAAAUCUCAUGUAAGCAACACAUGACAUAAUUUAGGAUGUGAGAUUGGUUCAUACAUACAACCAGACAAUUGAGGGUCUAAAUUCAAAGCAUUUAUACUUGUCCCUCCCCAUGAAUAUAGGAAUCAAUGUAGCUGCUAGAGAGUAAGCCAAAUUACCAGCUUGCAUAUUUUUAUGUAAAUGGAAAAGGUAACUUUCCAUAUGCAUAAAUAGUGUUAACAUGCCUCUGAUUUUUAGGUGACUCACUCCUACAACCCCGUCCAACUCAGUCCCUAACAGAAUCACAGCCAAAUCUCCUUGGCAUACUGAGAUAAAACUCAAUAUUUUUUUCUGAGAAAAUUGUAUAAAUGCCAGUAACAAGUACUAAAAGUAUUAAAUAUAUAUCUUAGAUUCAUUUUUGUGUGUUGAAUGAUAUUUUUUAGGGUAUCCUAGGACCCCAAACAACAUUGGUAAGGAUGUUUUAAUUAUAUAAAGUCCCAAGUCAGUAAUUUAUAAACAAAAUUUUGGAAUGCCCCUUCACAUGAUUUGGAGUUUACAUGAAUUCAUAACAUUUAAAACCAUCAAGAGUACAGACCAAAGGAAGUUAUAAUAAAAGAAAAUGACACAUUAGUGAUACAUGUACUAUCUUAUCAGAAAGUUUUUCCUUCCAUCCUUUCUACAAAUCCAUGACUCGCAGCUAUUAUUAUUUAUUAUUUUGUACCAACAUGGUACACUGAGGUCAAUAUUGGUAUGGCAUCCCUUCCCUCUUGUCCUUCAUUCCGUGUUUAUAACAUAAAAGGUAGUGGCUAAAACCAUGAGACACAGGUUCUUGUUCCAUCUAAGAGAUCAGGAGGGUAUAUCUGGUUUUUAAACAACAGAAAACUAAACAUUUGAUUGUAACAAAAUAAAAAUGAAUAAAGGGAGGAAAGGAAUGAAAGUGGGAAAGGAAGAAAGAUAAAAAGAAAACCAAGAAAAGCUAUGAGGUUGGUGCAAAAGUAAUUGAGGUUUUUGCCAUUACUUUUGCACCAACCUAAUAGUUAAACCUGUGUGGUUGAAGAGAGUCACAGUGACAGAGAUCACAAAAGGGAGUGAAAGGGAACCAGAGACUAAACUUCAAGGCAGUUGAGCCAGAUAAUAAGGCUGCAGCAGAUCAGAGAAGAUGUGUCCAAAUCGCAGUGCACUUCAGAGAAAUGAGCCCAUAUUUACUAAAUAAAUGUCAUUACUUUUAUAUUCACAGCCAAGAAAGAAUAGAGCAACUUCUGCCACCUCAAUGACAGCUUAGAUAAGUUCAGGUUCAAUUUAGACACAAUUACAUCUUUUCUUUAAAGUGAACAUUAUUUUCACAGUUUAUUAAUGUCAAUUCCAUAAAGCUAAGUAUCUGUAUCUUCACUAUGAUAAAAGCAAGUAGACUUUCUCAUCUGUGACCUUCAAAAAUAUCCCAGAAGAGUGGUCAUGAGAGUUUCAACUAAGGUUUAAUAUCAGAGGAAAUUGAAAAAAGGAAAUGGAUUCAAAUGAAUUUUCAGCAAUAGAAUCUACAGGACUUAAUCAAAAUACGAAAUGAUGGAAGAAAUAGAACAUAAAAUCACAGCACGUUUAACAUGAUACAUGCUGAAAACACAUACACUUAGCACUAAGAAAUUAAGGCAUUAAUAAACUCAAGAAAGAGAAUUUCCAGGCCAGGCACGGUGGCUCACACCUGUAAUCCCAGCACUUUGGGAGGCCGAGGCAGGCAGAUCAUGAGAUCAGGAGU
This 6124-nucleotide long non-coding RNA is filed under the name Homo sapiens (human). RNAcentral's name for it is "HSALNT0322614". Lineage: Eukaryota; Metazoa; Chordata; Mammalia; Primates; Hominidae. The record is from RNAcentral.